UGAGGAAUAUUGGUCAAUGGGUGCAAGCCUGAACCAGCCAUCCCGCGUGAAGGACGACUGCCCUAUGGGUUGUAAACUUCUUUUGUAUAGGGAUAAACCUACCCUCGUGAGGGUAGCUGAAGGUACUAUACGAAUAAGCACCGGCUAACUCCGUGCCAGCAGCCGCGGUAAUACGGAGGGUGCAAGCGUUAUCCGGAUUUAUUGGGUUUAAAGGGUCCGUAGGCGGACUUAUAAGUCAGUGGUGAAAGCCUGUCGCUUAACGAUAGAUCUGCCAUUGAUACUGUAAGUCUUGAGUAUAUUUGAGGUAGCUGGAAUAAGUAGUGUAGCGGUGAAAUGCAUAGAUAUUACUUAGAACACCAAUUGCGAAGGCAGGUUACCAAGAUAUAACUGACGCUGAGGGACGAAAGCGUGGGGAGCGAACA
This 422-nucleotide ribosomal RNA is filed under the name uncultured bacterium. RNAcentral's name for it is "bacterial SSU rRNA". It matches the Rfam family "Bacterial small subunit ribosomal RNA", at positions 355 to 774 of the family's 1533-position model. The record is from RNAcentral.